Molecule: small RNA, 29 nt
Filed under: Bombyx mori (domestic silkworm)
Lineage: Eukaryota; Metazoa; Arthropoda; Insecta; Lepidoptera; Bombycidae
Description: ovarian small RNA-2110
Source: RNAcentral
UCUCGAAAUUUACGCCGCGCAACGGUUGC